RNAcentral lists this ribosomal RNA (427 nucleotides) under uncultured bacterium. RNAcentral describes it as "partial 16S ribosomal RNA". It matches the Rfam family "Bacterial small subunit ribosomal RNA", at positions 355 to 774 of the family's 1533-position model. The record is from RNAcentral.
UGGGGAAUAUUGGACAAUGGGCGAGAGCCUGAUCCAGCCAUGCCGCGUGUGUGAAGAAGGUCUUCGGAUUGUAAAGCACUUUAAGUUGGGAGGAAGGGCAUUAACCUAAUACGUUAGUGUUUUGACGUUACCGACAGAAUAAGCACCGGCUAACUCUGUGCCAGCAGCCGCGGUAAUACAGAGGGUGCAAGCGUUAAUCGGCAUUACUGGGCGUAAAGCGCGCGUAGGUGGUUUGUUAAGUUGGAUGUGAAAUCCCCGGGCUCAACCUGGGAACUGCAUUCAAAACUGACUGACUAGAGUAUGGUAGAGGGUGGUGGAAUUUCCUGUGUAGCGGUGAAAUGCGUAGAUAUAGGAAGGAACACCAGUGGCGAAGGCGACCACCUGGACUAAUACUGACACUGAGGUGCGAAAGCGUGGGGAGCAAACA